This is a long non-coding RNA of Chelonia mydas (Green sea turtle), 582 nucleotides long. RefSeq lists it as uncharacterized. The record is from RefSeq and is a predicted model, not a curated record. The transcript has 2 exons. Lineage: Eukaryota; Metazoa; Chordata; Testudines; Cheloniidae.
CUUCCUCUUGAAAGUUAACAGAAGUAAAAUACAUCCUAAUUAAACUUAAACACACAUAUCCUAAAACAAACUGACUCUACAAAAACAAACACCCCAUCCUGGAUUUUCCACAAAUUGACAACCGGAUUUGGAAAGACUCCCAGAAGCAAUACACGAAGUCCUUCCUCUCAUUUCACUCAUGCUGAUGAAAAAGACCUCAUGGAAUAAAUGUCGCAGUAUUGGGAAGGACAGAGACAACUUCCAUGAAAGCUGAUAGAGAGCCUUAAGACCACUCAUUAAGUUCUAAGUUAGCUCCUGUGCACAAUCCGUGCUUAUCUAGCUCAAUUUGUGUUAGCUAUUCUAGAUAGUUCUAAGAUGCUUUGACAUCUCAGUGCUUAUGAGAAGCUGUCUCUUUGUCAAAUCCCCUAAUCAAGGAUCCAGGGAGAGAAACCAGAUCUCAGAUUUGAAUGAAUAGAACCCUGCACCACCAAAAAAAUGUGACAAUACAAAAAACGUAGGAGGAUUAACUAUAACAGAGGACUGUUUCAUUUAGACAUUUAUGUCUGUGUUGGCAAAGCAAAUAAUUAAAGACCAAUAAGUAAC